This 2970-nucleotide long non-coding RNA is filed under the name Nicotiana tabacum (common tobacco). RNAcentral describes it as "long non-coding RNA (NTAB_LNC000582)". Lineage: Eukaryota; Viridiplantae; Streptophyta; Magnoliopsida; Solanales; Solanaceae. The record is from RNAcentral.
AAGGCAUUAAAUGCAAAUAAAUUGAGUUUUUUGUCCAUUCAAGCCAAAGUACACACAUGAAUGCUGCAACAAUACGAAUCCUUAGAGCACAAAACAAACAAUUUAAAUUCCAAGGGUAGCUGGUAAGCAUGUUUAUCAUGAGGUGACUAGUUUUCAUUUUCAUUUAUAACAGGCAGAAGUAGAAAUGUAUAAAUAUAAUAAUGGAGAAAUUUGUCAAAAAGUUAUCCCUUUUCAUUUUACGCCAUCUCUGUCAUAUAAAGAUGGAAAAUAUGUCAACAACAGGUUAAUCACUUAAGACAUCACUAAUACAUUGGGUCCUCCCAUUUUUCGUCGUCAGAGCUCCAAACUUCCAUUAUACGCAAUCUCUAUCAUAUGAAGAUGGAAAGUAUGUCAGGAAAAGGUUAAGUCAUAUGAAGAUGGAAAGUAUGUCAGGAAAAGGUUAAGUCAUAUGAAGAUGGAAAGUAUGAAGAUGAAAAGUAUGUGUCAAAGUCACCUCAGCAUAACGUCCUAGUGACGGCCAAUAUAUAUGUACCCAAUAUUGGAACAACCUCAUAUCGAAUUUCAGCAGUAGAUAGGUAUUCAAGCUUUUCCAAACCCCCAGCCUCUUCGAUCCGCUUAGUAUAACCACCAGUGUCGCCAUCUUCCUCUUCAAUACGCUUUCCAAACUUCAAUAUACUUUCUACUGCUUUUAAACUGAUGGUGCCACCAGAGAAGCCAAGAUAAUCACACAGAGGAUCUAUGCAGCAAUCCACCAAGUCUCUAAAGCCAAAAGCAUGAGGAAAAAAAAAACAUCAGAUUUAGUAAAAUAAUUAGUAUACAAGAGAGAUGAUUUACCCAGAAAAAGAGGUUACAUACUUGGUGUAAGCAAUGUCACUGGUUCAGAUAAUUGCAAUUGAAAGUGCAGCAGCAGCAAUACCCAUUUUUUUAGUUGUAGCCAGUGUGUGUAGAGGUUCUAUUAAUCCAGCAUUAAAUACAGCCUGCUCAAACAUUACAGACAACUAUUUAGAUAAAUGACUAUGUAGAGAAGGUUUUAUCAACUAAAAAGUCGAUCACUAAAAGUUAAAAAGAUUUUUUUUGUUUGUUUUUGUGGGGGGGGGGGGGGGGGGUGGAGGGAGACACAUCUCCACAACUCUUUUUCCAUUUCCAUUUCUAAUAACUACUAGACCAACUACUUCACUCUCAUAUUCACCUAAUUGAGAGUUCUUUGGUUUUUGCAUCCCUAAUGUAUGCACUACUUUUUACUCAUACCCUUAUCCUUUUAUUUUUUAUGAAUUACCGCCUAAUCAAUUCAUUUCUUUUAGGGAGGAAUAGCAGUUUUUCUCCCUGUGUUAAUUUGGGGUAGCACAUUUAACCUUUAAGUAAACAAAAUGACUGCUUAUAUUCGUUUUUCUAACAGAGACUAACAGUCCAAACAAAAUGUUUACUACUGAGAACGGCUUUUGGGUAUUACAGCUAGAACACUUUUAAAAAGACCUAAUUAUACGAAGAGGAAACAAUUAGAGCUCUUUCCAUUCAUCCACAGUUCCAGUUUAAGGUUAAAAUUUCAAUUUCAUUCCUCGGGGCAACUUCUUUCUUUCUCUUCCUUUAUUUUAUAAUUGACAAAAAAUAGUUCAUAUUUUGCACCUUGAAAACUGAACUCUUUCACAAUUUUGCAAUAUAUGAAUGUAUUAAGGGGUAAAUCGUAAAAUUAAAAAGGAUUAGGUGUGAAUCAAAAAGUAACGGAUAGGUUAAGGGUAUAAAAUGCAAAUAACUCCCUAUUUGAUCACCCAACAUUUGUAAAAUAUGCACCUUAGAAGACAUGCAGAAAAUGUAUGCAAGAGCUUAAUAUAUUUAGCUGUCCUUUUAAAUCCAGACGACAUACCUUUGCCCGCUGCGUGCUCCCAAUAGUAAUGUAUGCUAUAGACACGCAGACCAUCUCCUCCUCUAUUCCACUCUUUAGCAAGCCCAAUAGGCAAUCAAGGACGUUACGUUUAGCAAUGCUACGGGUUGCGAUCAUCAUCUUACAAAACUCAGAUCUUCACUUGGUUAGUAGGAAAAAAUAGUCCCACGCAGUCUAAUUUGCAAAAUAAGAGGAAUGCCCAUUGAGAGCAAAUGCUCUCUAUGCGAAGAGCAACCCGAGGACACAAACCGCCUAUUUCUACAUUGAAAAAUUACUCCUCAAUUGUGGGAUAUGUUUUUCAUCAUUCUGGGCUCAAAAUGGACAAUGCCUAGAGAUAUCUAGGAAAGUAAGGCCCCAUUUUAAAGUUUACAAGUACAAUUUUUGAGCAUUGAAGAUGCUUUUCAACCUAAAUCUAGACAACUCCAAGUUUUUCUUCUUUUUUUUUUCUUCUUUUAAUCAAGGACAAGUUUCUUAUUACCAGCUUACAUACAUAGAAAUUUUGUCCCAAGAUCUAAAAAGGCUAAGUUAGUGAAUACCAGUUAUAAAAAACUAAAAGAUAAUGUAGGCAAAAAAAAGAAUGCAGCCUAGAUGGCCAGCGCUGGAGCUGGGAGGUGGACUUGCCCAUGAUUUGAAGAUGACAAAGAACCUAUUUUUACACCUUCAGUCAAACGUUCUUACUAUAAGAAGACUUUUUAAAAAUAUUGUGGUGGACAGCUUUACCAAAUAGGUGGGUUUUUCGGAGGCUAUUAGAAAUUAGGCAGUAAACAAUUUGACGUUGAAUCAGGAACAUGCUAAAUUAUAAUCUCACUACAUGUUGUUUAAGAUGUUUCUACCUUUCAAUCACUUAAUUUAUUUUAGUUUGUUCCUUUUUUCAUUGGUUAGUUCAUCAAAGUAUUUUGGUUCAACCACGAAAGCUCCUUAUACCCGCGUACCUCUUUCUGGUGCUCAUCUCCCAGCUCGCUAAUACGUAUAACUGUAUGGAUGGCAGGGGGAUUACAGAACGUAAGUGAUCUCUAAAACAUCAAUUGACGUAUAUAUUAGAUAGGAAAAAGUAGGUUAAAUGAGGAAAAUAAAAACAUUCCACUCACUUG